Molecule: transfer RNA, 74 nt
Filed under: Daphnia pulex (common water flea)
Lineage: Eukaryota; Metazoa; Arthropoda; Branchiopoda; Diplostraca; Daphniidae
Description: tRNA-Asn
Rfam family: tRNA
About the family: Transfer RNA (tRNA) molecules are approximately 80 nucleotides in length. Their secondary structure includes four short double-helical elements and three loops (D, anti-codon, and T loops). Further hydrogen bonds mediate the characteristic L-shaped molecular structure. tRNAs have two regions of fundamental functional importance: the anti-codon, which is responsible for specific mRNA codon recognition, and the 3' end, to which the tRNAs corresponding amino acid is attached (by aminoacyl-tRNA synthetases). tRNAs cope with the degeneracy of the genetic code in two manners: having more than one tRNA (with a specific anti-codon) for a particular amino acid; and 'wobble' base-pairing, i.e. permitting non-standard base-pairing at the 3rd anti-codon position.
Source: RNAcentral
GCCUCUGUGGCGCAAUUGGCUAGCGCGUUCGGCUGUUAACCGGAAGGCUGGUGGUUCGAUCCCUCCCAGGGGCG